GACUCUGUUGUGUUACUACGACUGGUCUGAAAUGCAUGAGUGCAUCCUGCUGUUGUUGUGUUUUCAGUGUGAUAAGCAUCUUCACUGGAUCAAGUUCCCUUUGGGACACACAUGCAUUGUGGGCUCUGUGCUGGCAAACCGUCUUUGGACAACCUUGACAAUUUGACCUCAGAUUGGGUGGGACUACCCACUGAACUUAA
Molecule: unclassified non-coding RNA, 200 nt
Filed under: soil metagenome
Description: partial contains internal transcribed spacer 2 and large subunit ribosomal RNA
Source: RNAcentral